Molecule: long non-coding RNA, 920 nt
Filed under: Rhinopithecus bieti (black snub-nosed monkey)
Lineage: Eukaryota; Metazoa; Chordata; Mammalia; Primates; Cercopithecidae
Description: lncRNA (ENSRBIG00000046334.1)
Source: RNAcentral
AGAAGGAAAGAACAUUAAGUGAUUUGGCCCAGGGUCACUGGCACCCAGGCCGUCAAUCACAGUCUCAGUGGCAGAGCAAGGAAUGGAACUGUGACUCUUGGGUAACCAUCCAUGGGAACAUGCUUCAGCUAUCACAUCGUGUAAUGUAUUUUUAAAUACCCCAAAGAGCUCUUGUGGAGAAGCAGAAAUGGACUUCCCAUACGACAGCCUUGAGACUCUUCAGCUGGCCCCUGUCCAAGGUCAAAAGGAAAUCAGGCUAUUUCCUUGGCUUCUCUCCAUGACGAUUCCUGACUUGUGGCCCUGGCAGUCUUGGGAAGACAUCAUCCAGCUUCUUCAAUCCAGACCCUGGGCCCCUCCUUUCCCCAGGAUUGCCCCCACCCAGCCUGGACACAUUGACUGAACUGUUUUCUAGGACACUGGACUCUAUAGAAUGAGCAAACUUUUGUGACUACACCACAGGAACCUGCAGUGGGGCAUAAUGUUGUCAAGCAGAGAGACACAGAAGGGGAAAACAGCAUUCAAACCACCGGGCUCCCCAGGCUGUUCUGACUCUCCUCCUUCUCCACUGAUGUUGACAAAAAGUUGGAUUGUGAUAGAAGCAACCAGCAACCCAAAUCUUGGGUCCCUGGGGGUAGGAGAAUCUAGGAUUCAGCCAGUCCAAGGGAACCAGUCUUGCAUUUGGAACACAGUAGCAGGAUUAUUCUGAGGCACAGAGGAGAGAGAGCAGCACUUGGAAGAAACAAAGGUGAAUCCAGACAAGAGGAAGUUGAUUAAGAAGUAAGUGUGCUUGGAGAUUGAGAGGGUGGUCAAGCCUGGGGUGAUUAACUGGUGUGUCUGAAAAGGCACAUUCCAAAUUGCAUAACAUCUCAGCAUCUCUGGACUGUCAGUGGGGAGGACAAGGUGAGUGUGGGGAGCCCAGG